AAUAAUGUGCAGUGGCUUUUUUUUAAUUUAUAUUUUUAAUUUCUGAGCAAGUUAAGCCUGGAGAAAUGCAGUGGCUUUCAAGCAUUGUGACCUGUGUGAGGAAUACAUAUUCCGUUAUGACUUAGCAUUCACAUAUGCACACAUACAUAUAUGUAUACAUAUCACAUACACAAAUAUGCAUAUAUGUACAUAUACAGCUGAAGAAGGUCUGUGGAUUAGUGCUUUUCCUUAUUGUGGAGCACAGUGAUAUUUUCUUUCUUUCUUUUCUUUUUGAGACAGAAUCUCUCUCUGUUGCCCAGGCUGGAGUGCAGUAACACGAUCUCGGCUCACUGCAACCUCCGCCUUCUGGGUUCAAUCAAUUCUCCUAUCUCAGCCUCCCAAGUAGCUGGGAGUACAGGCAUGUGUUACCAUGCCCAGCUAACUUUUUUGUAUUUUUAAUAGAGACAGGGUUUUGCUAUGUUGGCCACGCUGGUCUCGAACUUAUGACCUCAAGUGAUCUACCCGCCUCAGCCUCCCAGAGUGCUGGGAUUACAGGUGUGAGCCACUGUGCCUGGCCAAUAUUUUCUAUUUUAUUUCAUUUUGAAAAAUGUAGGCUGUGACUCAGUAUGGAUCUCAUGACUAAGAAUGGAUCCUGACCCAAGUUUAAAGAGACUGGUGGGGUAAAGAGCGUGGGCUCCAAAGUUUGUCUACCCAGUUUUAAAUCCUGGCUUUCCCCUUAACUUGGGUGGGAUCAUACCAUCAACCGUGUUACCAAUCUGAAGCUUUGGCUCCCAUGCCUGUGAGAUGUGAAUGUUGAUAACAGACACCUACCUCAUAGGAUUAAUGAGAAGAUGCCAGGAUACAAUGCACUGAAGGUCUUAGCAUGCCUGCACAGAGCCCCAGCAACUGUUAAUUGCCGCCGCUGCUGCUGCUGCCACCGCCAUGGUGGUGACUGUCCUUACUAAGAUGCUGCAGCUAGAUUGGUUUCUUGGGAAGUUGUGGAAUUCUGUUCCCUGAGGAUGUUGAGAAGGACAGAUUGUACUUACCAAGAGCAUUUAUUGUUGCUUUAUUUUCUUAAACAUUUCUAAUGAAAAUCGUCAAGUCUAUAAAGUUGAAAGAACAGUGCAAAGAACCACCUAUAUGUCCAUCACCUAGAUUCGUCAACACUUAACACUUGCUAUCUCUGUUUACAUAGAAACAUUUCCUUUUUACUAGUCUGCCUGGAAGUUGGCUAUAGACUCAUUAGCCAAGAACAAGAACACUCUCUUACACCAUCACACCGUUGCCACACUUAAGAAAAUCGGCAUUGAUCCAGUGUCAUUGUUCGAUGUACCAUCCAUAUUCACAAUCUUCCAGGUAUCGGUAAUAUUUUAAAUAUAACCCAUUCGCUGGUCGCGGUGGUUCAUGCCUGUAAUCCCAGCAAUUUGGGAGGCCAAGGUGGGUGGAUCACGAGGUCAGGGGUUCGAGACCAGCCUGACCAACGUGGUGAAACCCGUCUCUACUAAAAAUACAAAAAUUAGCUGGGCGUGGUGGUACACACCUGUAAUCCCAGCUACUCAGGAGGCUGAGGCAGGAGAAUUGCUUGAACCUUGGCAGUGAGCUGAGAUUGUGCCCCUGCACUCCAGCCUGGGUGACAGAGUGAGACUCCAUCGCAAAAAAAAAAAAAAAAAUGACCUAUUCAAUGACUUUAAGAUGGAUUAGAUGGCCUGUGGAGUUACUCAUGGAGCUGAAGACUUCUGUGAAAUAAAAACCAACCACCCAGUAUUAAGUUUAACUCUCUUGUGGAAUAUUAAAUCAACUGUGUGUUGUGAACUCUCGAGAGCUGUUGAGAUGGAAGCUGUGGUUGUUUACGCUUUGUUAGCUUGGACAGUUAGCUUGGCAGUAAUCACAACAGCUUUAGGGAGUGCAUCCUUUGCCAGUUCAUAAAGAUGUAUUCUGAUAAUGGGGGACCAAAAGGAUAUAUCCUGAUAUGCAAAGUAGUAGAGCAAUAGAUUUCAUUUGGAUUUGAAUGUAAGUGGCUGUGAAUUAGAAAUAUUUGUUGGAAUUAGAAGGUGUCUAGGUAGGAAUUUAAGGUUUCCCCUCAGAUGGAGAAUGACAAGGCUGUAUUCUAAGGACAGAAUUUAAGGUGAACACUAUGGAAAUUUGUGCAUGUGUGUUUUUAAGAAAACAUACACAAGGUAAGGAAAUUCAAGCAACGAAAAAAAGGCAUUCAGUAAACAAUAAGUCCCAUCUUGCUAGUUUCUUCUGUAUUUCUUCAGGGCUACUUUAAUUGAUUCUAAAAUUAUUUCUCAGCUUUAAAAAAAAUCUCUAAAAUCAGGGUAUAUCUUAAAAGCAAUAGAAUGCUCCGGUUUAAUUGGCACAUGAUUUAGUGAUACAUAAAAUAAAGGCACCUCUUGCGUGGCAUCUUCAAUUUGAAGAAGUAAUAAUAUUCUGGCCAGACUCAGUGGCGCACGCCUGUAAUCCCAGCACUUUGAGAGGCCGAGGCAGGUGGAUCACGAGAUCAGUUCAAGACCAGCCUGGCCAACAUGGUGAAACCCCAUCUCUACUAAAAUACAAAAAUUAACUGAGCGUGGUGGUGCGUGCUUGUAAUCCCAGCUAGUCGGGAGGCUGAGGCAAGAGAGUUGCUUGAACUAGGACCCGGGAGGCAGAGGUUGCAGUGAGUUGAGAUUACGCCACUGCACGCCAGUCUGGGCUACAGAGCGAGACUCCGUCUAAAAAAAAAAAAAAAAAAAGAAGAAGUAUAAUAUUCUAUGAAUAUACAAAUUUCUGGGUUUUUUUGUCCCCUGAACUCCUGCCCUUUUUAAGACAUAUAGUAAUAUAGUGGGGUUAUAGGUUUAUAUACUACUACUUAGCUGUGCAGAGAAAUUACAGUAUUAAAAAAAAAUCACCAAUCUGUCUUCUUCCUAAGUCAUCAUCUAGAAAUGGGGAGAAGCAAAGAAUGGUGUUUUGGCUAGUUAAUAAGGUCUUAUAUUCUUUUGGUUUAAGCAGUAUCUUUUGGGUAAAUUCUGGUUUUUUUUUUUCACAUAUCCUGCCGUCCCCAUUAAAAACCAGCAUUUGGUCUUGGGGGAUUGUGAGAUCUUGUGGCAGCAAGGGAGGCCUUUGCCUAUGCUUGCUUGCCUUAGCUCACCUAGUCUGGUCUGAUCUGGUCCCUGGGCCUUUUGCAGGUAUCCCCUGAGGUGUGUGGUGAUCUUGCAUUUUUUUCUUUUGUCUCCAUCAGGGCCAAGGAACUGUCUUUGCUUCCUUUUGGUACAUUCACCCGGUGGCAGAUGUCAUGGCUCUCAGAAAAAGCUACAGGAGUCUGAGCGUGCUAACACUCAGCUCUUUCCUCUGCCUUACCAGGCCAUGCAACAUCACCAUUUUAUUCUGUAGCCAUCCAUAUUGGGAAGGGUGGAAGGUUGCAUCUGCAAGGUGGUCUUCUCCUAGAGUUUCAAUUAGGAAGUGGGGCAAUAGCCCCAGUACCUUCCCCUCAACCUGACGAUCAGUCUGCCCUCCCUCCACCUAUGCUAGUUUUCAGUCUCUUGCUUGUUAUCUCAAAAUCCAUUCUUCUUUGCCAUGUUUCAUGACAUGGGAACUGGACUCUGUCAACGGUUUUCCUUUGCCAGCUGGCAAGAUGUUAGGCUUUGUCAACAGAGUGCUGGAGAGACACUGCAAGGCCAUGGUAGGAGGAGGGCAUCCUUUCCUGUGCUAAUUUUCAUUGGUGAGUGAGUAUCAGUGGACUGGUGUGCAAGACACCCCAGAAAUACAUAGCAGCCAUCAUAGACAGCCCACUGGGUGGUACCAUGGAUCAUCUCCAACUACACAUACCCUUCAGGGAGUUUCUCCACCACGUGGUGGGCUGCUGCCCUGGGCCAGCUCUGGAUCACGCCCUGUGACAAGCAUGUUUGCCACCACAGGCUGUGUUCCUGUGGAGCUAUGCCAUCUCUGAAUAGUCUGAAUCUCAGCUUUGGGUUUGGAGGAGGCUCUCCUAAGUUCUUAGUUCCUCCCUCUUCACUCUUCCUUGGCUCUAAGUAGUAGACACUUUGCUCAUUUGCUACUUCUGUACCCCUGUGUCCUCUUUUAUCCCUCUGUUAUUUGUUAAAAAUCUUGGCCGGGUGUGGUGCCUCACGUCAGUAAUCGCAGCACUUCGGGAGGUCAAGGCAGGUGGAUCACUUGAGGUCAGGAGUUUGAGACCAACCUGGCCAACAUAGUGAAACCCGCCUCUACUAAAAAUACAAAAAUUAGCAGGGCAUGGUAGUGCAUGCCUGUAAUCCCCCUACUCGGGAGGCUGAGGCACGAGAAUUGCUUGAACCUGGAAGGUGGUGGCUGCAGUGAUCCAAAAUUGUGUCACUGUACUCCAGUCUUGGCUACAGAGCAAGACUCUGUCUCAAAAAAAAAAAAAAAAAAUCUCCUGUGGGACUUUAACCUGUGGAAGUGAUUGCAUGAUGGCACAGAAAGACUAAUGCCAAUAAAAUAAAAUUUGUAUUACAUUUCCAAAAGGGGAGCAUGCCAUGCCACACCACACAGCCAUGUGGGGAGGCACCAUCCACAGGAGCAGAAAGGAGCUGGGGGAAAGCCCAGUCCAGGGUCUUUGUUGGGCUUCUGUGGGAAAGGCCAGACAGAGCCAGGGAAACAGCUUAGGAUUGGCUAUUUUUGAUAAUUCUGGGGGCCCUGGGGCAUAGGGCCUUCCCUGAUUGUCUGGUUCCUAGCUCUGUGUGAUUUAGGGUAGGAGAAAUAUUGGCUUUGUGUGUGAGGAUUAGAUAAGGAGGUGGUUCAGAGUAUGGGCUCUGGGUGGCAGGGGAGACAGAAAACAGCAUUGGCUGUGAGUUUGACCUUGUGAUUAAACUAAUGGAUGCCAAAUAGAUGAAUACAGAAUCUACGAAAACACAGAACACUCUUUUAGCAGUAUCUACUUUUUGUUAACAAUUCUUUUAUUAAAUUUUCCCUAUUGAAAUGACUGACGUGGUUUCUGUCUCCUGACUGGUACAUUACUCUUUUCCCUGGAAUUCACGGGCAGGGAAGUGAUGAUACAUGUUUGACUGUUUGCCUCCUCUUCGUUCUCUGAUGUGUGAGGGAAGGGCUAGACCCUUCUACAUCUUUCUGUCUGGAUGAAGCUCUGAUGUUGUCAUUUCCUCCUCCUUCCCUAAUGCAGUAACCAUCUCUGUCAACCUGUCAUAGAAGGUCAUUUAAGUGACUUUGCCAACACAUAAACAGUACUGCAGUGAAGAUAUACCACACUUUGAAAUUGGUUAUUAGGUUUAAAUAAUAACCAAUUUAAACUGUUUAAACAGUUUAAACUAAUUUAAACUAAUAACUUAUGAUAUAGUAACUUAAUAAGUGAAAAAAAUCUUGGACCAAUAAGGAUGGAAGAGAAGUGUAGGAAUAACUGGUCAGAAUUAAAAGGACUAAAUCACGACUUUUAUUUCUUUUUGUAUUUUUGAAGCUCUGAUCUUGGUCCGGGUCAUCAUGCCUUUUUGUUGAAUUGAUCUCUUUAUCAUUAUCUGCUCUUUCUCCUCAUCCUCAGCAGUAUUCCUUGCUCUGAGUCUACUUUGUCUGAUAGGCACUUCAGCCUUCUUCUGAUCAUGCUUGCAUAAUACACCUUUUCCCAUCCUUUUACUUGUAGCCGGCCUGUGCCAUUGCCCUAGUGGUGAACUGCUGUUGCUCUUUACUUGGAGCUGGGCCCAUGGUAAGGGUGGUGACUUUCUUGGUUCUCUUAGUCCUGACUUCAUCUUAGGCAGGUACUAUGUGCCUGGACUUCAGGGUAGGGCUUUCUUAGCAUUGCAUGCGUCCACCUUCCAUGCCACCUGGACUCUGCCUUAUAUGUGUGUGUCUGUGUAUGUGUGGUGGGGGCUCUUAUGUAAGAGAGAAUUUCCCAUGUUCCCCCCAGCCCCCACCCGAAGCUGACUUUUGCAUUCUAUCAAUGCAGAAUCCAGCAGACGAUGAUAUUUGCUGGUACCUCACCCCAGGAGCAGUAGAUCUUUGCCUGGGUCCUGGGGAUAGGGUAGGUUUCUUGCCCUCCCUCCAGUGGAUUAAGGUUUUUGCAUUAGGUCUGAGAGAGGGGUUCAGGAAGUAGGCAGGAUUUUACCCAAGUUCAGUACUGAGGGGUGCUCUCUGCAGUCUCGUGCUCAGCUCCCAGUUGUCCUCACGAGCACCUGGGAGUGGCCCUUGGAAAAGGGCUUACAAGUAAGUUCAGCCAGGAAUGCUAGUGUUACAGUAGCCCAUGCUCAGCUUUAUAAGAAUUCAUUACAAUUGAAGCUGUUUUCCUGUCACCUGUUUACAUGGCAGCCUUUUCUUCCUCCUGUGCUCUGUGAAGGGUCACAAGGUUUGCAUGUCACAUUUCUCCUUGGAGGGAUUUGUCACUUGUUAGAAUUCAGUUCACCUGAUUGCCUUUUGGCCUCAGAUCUCUGAUUAGCUCAAUAAAAGUUAUGAUUUUGUUGAUUAUCUGGCCUCUUCUUUUCGUUGGGUUGAAAGUAAUGUUCUCUUAUGGCUUUCUGUAUCUUAAGCAAGGAUACAGAGCGCUAUUUAUUCACCUGUCCCUCAGCAGAAUUAUGUAAGUAAAAUAGAAUUUAGGUUCCUCACAGAUCCAUGCAGUUUGCUAAUACAAAUACUGUUUAUAGUUUCUUUGUUUCCACAUCUACCAUUGGUUUACAUUUGAGUACCCCUUUUUUACUUUGUAUUUUGAAAUAGUUUCAAACUUACAGAAAAUUUACAAGAAUAGUAUAGAGAAUUCCUACAUUUCCUUUACUUAGUUAGAUUCAUCAAUUUUUAACAUAUUGCCACUUUACAUUUGCUUUAUCAUUUCUCCCCUUCUAUAUGUGUAUGGGUGUAAAAUUUGUUUUUCUGAAUCAUUUGGGAGUAGUUUACAAUAUUUUGCCCUUUUAUUCCUUAAUACUUCAAGUGUAUUUUGUAAGAACAAGCAAUGAUCUUCUCUUAUGUAACUACAGUAUAAUUAUUAACUUUCAGAAAUUUACCAUUGAUAGAAUAUUUUUAUUUAACCUAAAAUCCAUAUUCCAGUUUCCUCAAUUCUCCCAGUAAUGCUCUUUCUAGCACUUAUCCCCUCAGCUGUAGGCUCCAGUCCAGGAUCAUGGGUUGCAUUAAUCUGUCAUGAUCUUUAAUAUCCUGUAACCUGGAACAGUUCCUCAGUCUUUCUGUCUUGCAUGACAUUGGUAUUUUUCAGGAACAUGGAGCAGUUAUUGUAUAGAAUGUUUUUCAGUUUUGGCUUGAACAUUUCAGUUUUGGUUUGUUUGAUGUUUCGUUAUUAUUGAAGUGACAUUUCUGUUUUAGGAUAUUACAGUAAUGCUGUAUCUUUCUCAUGGUAUUACAUCCAGUUGGAUGCCUUGUCUUUGUGCCUGUCAUUAGUGAUAUUAAUUUUGAUUAUUUAGUCAAGGUACUGUCUGGUUCCUUCAUUGGAUAGUUGCUAGUUUUCCUCUUGCGUUUGUUUUUUUGUUUUUUUCCCUAACUUUUUCUCCCUGUGGCCAGGCACGGUGGCUCACGCCUGUAAUCCCAACUCUUUGGGAGGCUGAGGCUGGAAGAUCACGAGGUCAGGAGAUUGAGACCAUCCUGGCUAACAUGGUGAAACCCCGUCUCUACUAAAAAUACAAAAAAUUAGCCAGGUGUGAUGGUGGGUGCCUAUAGUCCCAGCUACUUGGAAGGCUGAGGCAGGAGGAGAAUUGCUUGAACCAGGGAAGCAGAGGUUGCAGUGAGCUGAGAUCUCGCCACUGCACUCCAGCCUGGAUGACAGAGUGAGACUCCAUCUUAAAAAAACAACAACAACAAAAAAAACCUUUUUCUCCCUGUGAUUUCCUGAAACCUCUAAAAAGCAUCUGUGGGGAGACAUUUUGUGACCAUAUAAUUAAUCUGCUCCUUAUAAAACAUAAAAUACAUGCCUUGGGUUUUCGUAGAGUAGAGAAAGGGAUCGAUCAGUGAUUCAGGACCAUUUCUUGUAAAGCUUCUACAGAGAGGGUAUACCAUCAGAGAGAAAAUGUACUGGGGAGAAGCACUUUACACUGUUUCAACCAGCAAGGAAUAUUUCUGUCUCAGCUUUCACUUUGAGUGGAGGGCAAAGAAAAAGAAUCACAUGAGAACUUGUAGCUGCUGACCAGCUGCUCCCACAUGGGUUUAGAAACUGGUUUUACACUAUUUAUGUGACCUCCAAUAGCUGCAAGUUGGAAAUCUUGAUUUAAAGUGGACCUGAGUUUUUACUGUCUCUGAGUGCUUGACAAAAGCAAGUUUAAGUCUUCCCUAACUCAAAGUUCCAAUAGAUCAUUGCAGCCAAUACGAACAGUAUGAACCAAAAGAGACACAUACACACACACACACACACACACACACAUACACAGAAACAAAAUAUCAUGAACAAGAGUCAGUAGAAACAAUAGUAACAACCUGUCAUAAUUUCAGAUAUUGGAAAUAGUGAAUGUAGACUGUAAGUUAAUUUAGUACCUUUGGGGAAGCAAGGGAAGGAAAUGAAAAUAUAAGUAAAGAAAGAGAUACCAUCAAAAACAACCAGGCAAUUUAUUUUUAAAAAAUCAAAUAUAAUGUUCAGAAGUGAAAAGCAUCAUCAUUUAGAUAAAAAAAAUUAUGGACUGGUUAAAUAUUAGAAUAGAAACAGCAGAAAUGAGAAUUAGUGAAGUAGAAGGUAAGUUUGAAGAAAUAACACAGGCUGAAGCUUAUAGAAACAAAGGGAUGUAAAACAUGAGAGGUUCAGAGAUUCCGUGAGAAGAUCCAACUUAUGUCUAAUUGGAGUUCCAGAAGAAGCUUCUACAGAGAGUGGCAAAGAGAUAAUAUUGAAACAGAUGAUGAGUGAGAAUCUUCAUAAUUGAUGAACAACAGGCCUUUGUCUGUCAUUUGUGGAGGUAGCACAACAGUUUAAAUGGAGGCCCACAGUCCAUGUCUAAAUAUUUAAAAGUUACAAAUGUGACACACUGUGAAAUAAAAUAUGUCUAUACUUCUACCUUGACAAAUAUGUCUCUGUGAUAAUCUAGAAGAUGAGGUUUACAUUUAGAGUUCUUGAACUCCACAGAGCUCUGUGCUGACACGUAGCAGCACAGAGUGAGCCAGACCUUCGCCUGUGGCCCAGCCCUUUUGUCUUUUUCCCCCCAGCUUUCUCCAUGCUGUGAGGGGCCUCAUGCAUACAUGUGAAGAUACUUAGUGUGCAUAUCUAAGCUCUGUUCACACUCCUCAUAAGCAUGCUUCUAGGUGGCACCUCUGGCCUAUGCUCACAUGCUGGUGCAUUCUGCUUUCUUUUAUUUUUUAUUUAUCUAUUUUUUUAAAGGCAGGGUUUUAUUCUGUUGCCAAGGCUGGAGUACAGUGGCCUGAUCAUAGCUCAUUAUAGCCUUGAACUUCUGGACUCAUGCAAUUCUCCUGAGUAACUGGGACUGCUAAUUAUCAUGCCUAGCUAUUUUUAUUUUUAUUUUUUGUAGCUUUCAAACCCAGCCUGGUCUCACUGUGUUGCCCAGGCUUGGUUUGAACACCUGGCCUCAAGCAGUCUUUCUGUCUCACCUCCCAAAGUGCUAGGAUUACAGGCAUGAGCCACUGUGCCUACCCAGCAUUCUGCUUUCAUAAUAGACCCGUGGAAAAGCCCCAUGCAAAACCCUGAAUGUGGCAUAGAUUCAAUUAAGUAGGGAAUUCCUGGAUCGUGGAUACCUAGAAUAUGAUGUCAGACUCAGGAUGGGUGCAUGUCCUUGGAUCUUCAGACCCCUUGCCCUAUGGGGAGAGGCGGAGUCUUUUAAAUUAUAGAAUCUAGGGUAGGGGCCUUGCUUGGAGUAGGUUCUAAGAGUGGUAAUAAGAGACAAAAAUUAUCUGGUUCAGGAAGCCCAUCAAAUUCCAAAGCAGCAAAGAAAGAAAGGAAAGAAAUUCAUGUCUAACCAUAUCAGUAAACCUGUGAAACUAGAAUAUUAAAACCAGAAAAGAUUCUUAAAAAUAUCAAGAGAGAAAAGACAGAUAAUUUACAAAGGAACCACAAUUAGUAUGCCAGGGGGCUUUUGUAUACCAAGAGUGGAACUCCUGAAGCAGUGUUUUCAAAGUUGGCAAUGAAAAUCUAAUUAUCACACAAUCUAGAAUUGUGUAGCCAUAAAACAGUUUUUAAAGAAUAAGAAUGAAAUGAAAUAAAGACAUUAGAUAAGUGAAAACAAAAAGAAUUUACUACCGAGAAUUCAUCACCGUGAUGGUUAGUAUUACGUUUCAACUUAAUUGGGUUGAAGGAUUGUUUCUGGGUGUGUCUGUGAGGGUGUUGCCAGAGGAGACUGACAUUUGAGUUGGUGGACUAGGAGAGGAAGACCCACCCUCAGUGUGGGUGGGCACCAUCCAAUUGGUUGCCAGUGCAUCUAGAACAAAGCAGGCAGAAGAAUGUGGGAUAAGCUUGCUUGCUUGCUGAGUCUCCUGGCUUCCUUCCUUCUCCCAUUUUGGAUGCUUCCUCCCACUCCUCCUGCCCUUCAACAUAAGACUCCAGGUUCUAAGGCCUUUGGACUCGGGCUUGUACCAGUGGCUUGCCAGGGGCUCUUGGGCCUUUGGCCACAGACUAAUGGCCACACUGUUGGCUUCUCUGGAUUUUAGGCCUUCGGACUUCGACUGAGCUACUACCAGCUUCUCUCUUCCCUGGCUUGCAGACCGCCUAUAUUGGGAUUUUUUACCUUGUAAUCAUGUGAGCCAGUUCUCCCAAAUAAACUCCCUUUCAUAUAUACAUAUAUCCUAUUUGUUCUGUCCCUUUGCUGAACCCUAAUACCAUCACUAAAGGACAUCCUUGAGAAGGGAAAUGACACCAAGAAGGAAGAUUUAAAAUUUAAGAAGCCAUUAAGUUGAUCCAGAGAGAAGCAUUUACUUGCUUGAAGAUCACACUUGAUUCAGAACCAAGCCUAGACUUAAACCCAGAUAGCAUGCAAGAAAGAAAUCAAGUUAACAGGGCCAGGCAUGGUGGCUCACACCUGUAAUCCCAGCACUUUGGGAGGCCGAGGUGGGUAGACCAAGACCAGCCUGGCCAACAUGGUAAAACCCUGUCUCUGUUCAAUACAAAAAUUAGAAGCAUGGUGGCGCGUGCCUGUAGUCCCAGAUACUCAGGAGGCUGAGGCAGGAGAAAUGCUUGAACCCGGGAGGCAGAGGUUGCAGGGAGCCAAGAUUACACUACUGCACUCCAGCCUGGCAACAGAGCAAGAUUCCAUCUCAAAAAAAAAAAAGAAAGAAAGAAAUCAAGUGAGCAACAGAAUUAUGUUUUCACCCAGGAAGCAGAUACCGGGUCCCCUUGGGCUCACUUUGGGAGAAGGCUUACAUUUUUGCCAGGAUAUACCAGGACUACUUAGGUUGAGUCUUACAGCCUCCAGGACUUUACUCUAAGCUUCCCAUUGCUAAUAUGUCAUUUUUCCUUUUUCUUGCCACUGAGUUGUUUGCUCAACUGGAGGAUUUUACUUUCUGCCCUUCAGGUGGUCACAUGGUAGCUCCCAUGAUAACGUAAGUAAGUCUCAGCAGUGUUGACAGGGACAGGGUGACUUUAAUUUCAUUCCUUCUCUUUUCUUUUUUUUUUGAGACGGAGUUUCGCUCUUGUUACCCAGGCUGGAGUGCAAUGGCGCGAUCUUGGCUCACCGCAACCUCUGCCUCCUGGGUUCAGGCAAUUCUCCUGCCUCGGCCUCCUGAGUAGCUGGGAUUACAGGCACGUGCCACUGUGCCCAGCUAAUUUUUUGUAUUUUUAAUAGAGACAGGGUUUCACCAUAUUGACCAGGAUGGUCUCGAUCUCUUGACCUCAUGAUCCACCCGCCUUGGCCUCCCAAAGUGCUGGGACUACAGGCGUGAGCCACUGCGCCCGGCCUCCUCCUCUUCUUGAUGCUUUUUUUUUUCCUUCCUGUUCUGCCCCUAGUGGUUCUAUGAGUCCUUCAGUUCUCCCCAUUUCUCCAUGACACACCAGGAGCCAUGUCAGAUGUGAUUUCUGACCUGGGGCCCCGAAUGGCACAUGGAGAGGAAGUACUGAACUGGGGUUGGGUAUAAGAGGGCUUAAGAUGCGUGAAAAAUGUUGAGUAGGGUAUUUCAAGAGAUAGUUGAAAUAAUAUAAUACCUUUUGUUUAUGUCACUGUACUUGGCAAAUUUGAUCAUAUGACAUCUCAUUUGAUGUCUUUGAGAUGACAGAUCGUGUCCCUUCUCUAGUGCUAAGAUCCUCAGAGAGGUUAAGUGACUUGCCAGUGACCACUAAGUUAGAAAGUGGCAGAGCCCCAGAACUACCCUUGCGGCUGCUUUCUAGUUUCUAAUGAGAUGCUUUUUCCCUAACACCAUCACUAACACCAUCUUGUCUCUAUGAAGUGAUGGCUUCCUAAAUGCCACUAAAGGAUAAUACUUUUUAUUUUUGAGAUGGAGUUUCACUCGUCACCCAGGACGGAGUGCUAUGGCGUGAUCUUGGCUCACUGCAAUGUCUGGCUCCGAGGUUCCAGUGAUUCUCCUGCCUCAGCCUCCUGAGUAGCUGGGAUUACAGGCACCCACCACCAUGCCCAGCUAAUUUUUGUAUUUUUAGUAUAGACAGGGUUUCAUCAUGUUGGCCAGACUGGUUACGAACUCCCGACCUUAGGUGAUGUGAUACGCCUUCCUCAGCCUCCCAAAGUGCUGGGAUUAUAGGCCUGAGCCACCGUGCCUGGCCAAGGGUAAUACUUUUCAAUCAGCCAAUAAGAUUCACACGGAAUUUGCUUAUUUUUAGUAUUCCUGUCAGUAUUGAUGGAUUUCUUUAAAAGUUUUUUCCAUAAAUCUAUUUGCCCCCCACCUCCUCAACUCCUCCAGCAUCUGCCCCCUUUCUUCCUUAUACAUAUUGUGAAGUCUAACUUGGGCCUCAAUCAUCAUCAGUUUUAAAUUAGUGGUAUCCAUACUAACCAGGAUUUCCUGUAAUUGGAACAUUCUUCACACUUUUGGUAUUUGCUGAUUCUGCCCUCUCCAUGCAUUUUAGAAGUUUCAGACUGUUUCUUCUGAGAAAUAACUAGAGUUGGUGCAAGCUGUGUUGCACAUUUUGAUUGCAAUUUUAGUAAUGAGUGUUGCUUGCUUUUUAACAGAGGCAGGUAAACCAAGUUAUUGAGUGCAGUUUCAAACCCAAGCCACCACUGUCCCAUAGAUCAGGGGUCCCCAGCCCCCAGGCCACAGACGGGUCUGUGGCCUGUUAGGAACCAAGCCUUAUAGUGGAAGGUGAGCGGCACGUGAGCAAGUGAAGCUUCGUCUGUAUUUACAGCCACUCCCCAUCUGGCUCAUUGCUGCCUGAGCUCCGCCUCCUGUCAGAUUUUCAUAGGAGCAUGAAACCUAUUGUGAACAGUGUGUGUGAGGGAUCCAGGUUGUGUGCUCCUUAUUAGAUGAGAAUCUAAUGCCUGAUGCUCUGUCAUUGUCUCUUAUCACUCCCAUCUGGGACUGUCUAGUUGUAGGAGAACAAGCCCAGGACUCCCACUGAUUCUACAUUAUGGUGAGUUGUAUAGUUAUUAUAUAUUACUAUAUAUAUGUAUAUAUAUAUAAAUAUAUAAAUAUAAGUGUAUAUAUAUAUAUAUAUAUAUAUAUAUAUAUAUAUAUAAAUAAAGUGCACAAUAAAUGUAAUCCACUUGAAUCAUCACAGAACCAUUUCCCCACCCCCCCACCCCCAGUCUGUGGAAAAAUCGUCUUCCACAAAAGCAGUUCCUGGUGCCAAAAAGGUUGGGGACUGUUGCCAUUGACUCAUGUGACACAUUGCUAUCUUGUUGUGUUAGACAUUGCAAGCUGCAACUUUGUAACUGCCUGUAGGUAGGUCAUUAUUUAUUUAUUUAUUUACCUGUGAGCCCACAUCCAUAAAAUUAGCAGAAUAUGUCAUAGUCAAGAGACUUUGAUUUAUGAACCAGCUGAUUUAGUUUACUCACAAGCUUUGGAAGAAUCUUUUUUUAAAGGCCAAGUUUAAGACACCUUAGACCAUAGAAAUAUGUGUAUUUCCUGGCCUGUUCGAUCAUUUGAAGGCCAGAUUUUAUCAAAACAAAUGAAUCACUGUUUUUCCUUCCUUCAUCAUUCUUUAAUUGGUUUCCAAAAUAAAAUGAUUAGUGGCUGCGUUUCUCAACUGCAUUGUUUUCAUUACAGUCUUACUGGCUGUAUUGGGUGGUACAUUGGGAAAUGCUUUCAUAACUGGCGAUCACUGUUGACUGGGUUACAUGACUUCAUAGAGGCCCAGAUUCGUUACCCCGAGAAAAUCUUUGAAGGAGCAAGCUCUUUCUUAUACUUUUGUUACUAAGUUAGGGAAAAAUAUUUUAAAUAAUGGAAUCUUAGUUGCAAUGUAGGUUUUACUUUUCUUGAGAUUUAUGUUUGUUUUUAGAUAUGACAAAGGUGUGCAUUUUAGAGUUCCUCUUCCCCCAGGAACAAGGGAUUCACUUGACUUUUUUUUUUUUGAGACAGAGUUUCGCUCUUGUUACCCAGGCUGGAGUGCAAUGGCGCAAUCUCGGCUCACUGCAACCUCCGCCUCCUGGGUUCAGGCAAUGCUCCUGCCUCAGCCUCCUGAGUAGCUGGGAUUACAGGCACGCGCCACCAUGCCCAGCUAAUUUUUUGUAUUUUUAGUAGAGACAGGGUUUUACCAUGUUGACUAGGAUGGUCUCGAUCUCUUGACCUCGUGAUCCACCUGCCUCGGCCUCCCAAAGUGCUGGGAUUACAGGUGUGAGCCACCAUGCCCGGCUCACUUGGCUUUCAAAUAGAGAAUAUGCUGAGUAUUUCUGACUGCAGGUUUCUUUUUUCUGGUACUCUCAAAAGUGCGCCGUAAAUACCAGUGAGUCCCUUCCCGUUUCUUCAGCACUGCUUGGUGUGAGUGGCAUGGAGGCAUAAAGCUGGCUGGCCUAGUUAGUGUGACCUAAGUGGUUUCUUGUGAGCAUCCACUUGCUCUACAGUUGGGCCUUUUUUCCAUUGGUGAACUGCUCCUUACCUUGCGGUCCCGUAGCUAGUUUGCUACUGAGUAUUUCCCUUAUAAAACAGGAAGGAACAUUACCCUGAUAUUAUGAAGUGUGUGGUUUUAGAAUUCCACUUCAGAUGGCACUGACCUUUCCUUAAUACAGCUGGUUUCACUUAAUACCUUUUGUUUAAACAAAGUGUGUUCCUGGAAGUGGUUUCAGAAUAGUCUGUUCCUCUUGUAGCUGUUCCUUUGCUCUUAAUUUUUAAAGUGUUUUGCUGACAGUAUCAUACAUCCUUGCACAACAGAUUAGAAGUUUCUGUUUGAAGUCAUCACACUUAUGAAUUACACUCUGUCCAGAUAUGAUAUAUUGAUGACUGUAUUCAGUAGCUUAAAUAUAUAUAUAUUUUUUAAGAGAUGGGGUUUCACCAUCUUGGCCAGGCUGGUCUUGAACUCCUGACCUCAUGAUCCACCCAUCUCGGCCUUCCAAAGUACUGGGAUUACAGGUGUGAGCUACUGUGCCCAGCCUAGUAGCUUAAAGAUUUAAGUGAUUGCUUUAUUUUGCAAAACUGACCAAAUUAUUUUGUUGCUUAGGUAACUCCCCUUUAAGGAGCUCUGAUGUCUAGCAAUCUCAAUGACAAAACAAAUAAAAUAGAGAAUGAGUGUUUUUCACUUUGUAAACAUGAACAAUUCUUAACAAAAAAGCCAGAGCUGGACUAAUUAAACAAUCAAUAUGUUUUAAAGUGGAAUAUAUACCUGAAUGGAACUUUAGAAAGACUGAAAAAAAAAAGAUAAAUAAAUAAAGUGGGAUAGACAUAUCUUUUUAGGUGUGAUACCAAAAUAUUUAAACUUUAAGAAAGACUGGAUAGAAAUACAAAAUAAGAUAUUAAUAGUCCUGCUCUGACUUUUCUAAAACAGGUUUAUAUUACUUUAUUUUAAAAUGUUUAUGAACGUACCUUUUAAAAAUAGGGAUUUAUAGGCUGGGUAUGGUGUCUCAUGCCUAUAAUCCUAGCACUUUGGGAGGCCAAGGCUGUUGGAUCACCUGAGGUCAGAAGUUCGAAACCAGCCUGGCUAACAUUGUGAAACUCCAUCUCUACUAAAAAUACAAAAUUAGCCAGGCAUGGUGGCACAUGCCUGUAAUUGCAGCUACUGGGGGGUGCUGAGGCUGGGGAAUUGCUUGAACCUGGGAAAUACAGGUUGCAGUGAGCUGAGAUCGUGCCACUGCACUCCAGCCUGGGUGACAGAGUGAGACGCCAUCUCCAAAAAAAAAAAAAAAUAGGGAUUUAUAAAACAUAUAUGCAACUCAUUAAGAACUUUUUUUCUGGGCACCAUGGCUCACACCUGUAAUGCCAGCACUUUGGGGGGUUGAGGCCAGUGGAUCGCGAGGUCAGGUAUUCAAGACCAGCCUGGCCAAGAUGGUGAAACCCUGUCUCUACUAAAACUACAAAAAUUAGCCAGGCACGGUGGCAGCUAUCUGUAAUUCCAGCUACUCAGGAGGCUGAGGUGGGAGAAUCGCUUGAACUCAGGAGACAGAUAUUGUAGUGAACCAAGAUCACGCCACUGCACUCCAGCCUGGGCGACUGAGACACUGUCUCAAAAAAACAAAAAAGAAUUUUUUGAAUAAACUUUAGUUUUGUUAUAUUCUAUCAUAGAAUUAGUUCUUGUCUUUGGAGAACUUACUAACAGGAUACUUUUUUGUUGUUGUUUGUUUUUGUUUUUGAGACAAGUACUCGCUCUGUCACCCAGGCUGGAGUGCAGUGGCAUGGUCUCAGCUCACUGCAACCUCUGCCUCCCAGGUUCAAGCAGUUCUCAUGUCUCAGCCUCCUCAGUAGCUGGGACUACAGGCAUGUGCCACCACAUUUAGCUAACUUUUAUAUUUUUAGUAGAGACAGGGUUUUGCCAUGUUAACCAGGCUGGUCUUGAACUCCUAGCCUCAGGUGCUCUGCCCUCCUCAGCCUCCCAAAGUGCUGGGAUUACAGGUAUGAGCCACCAGGCCUGGCUUCUGUAUGUAAGUAUUAGGUGGUGACUCCAUACAAAAUAUUUAACAACUUGCUGGUUAACAUUUAAAUCUUUGUUGCCAAGACCUUUUCUGUGUUUUACAGUGAUUCCAAACAUGUUCCAUAUAGGAAUAGUUUGCCAAAUAGAAGAACAUGGGAUAAUCUUCUUCUCCCAUGGCUGAUGUGUUGUGAUUCCAGGUGCACAUUUCUGUUUCCAAUAACAUGGACCCAUUCUCAAGGUUAAGCAAUGCAUCAAGAGACGGCACCACGUGCCUUUUCAUUUUUUUCCUCUCUUUAUCUCCCCUUCCCCUCCUUGAUUUAAUUUCUUCAGCAGGUCAGAAUCUAUACAGCUUCCAAAAGAAAUAGUAGUCGUUGGCAAAGAUUAGUUUUUAAUUCUUCUUCUGUUAAAUACUUUUUGAUUGAAAUUGUUUUCAUUACAAAGAUAACAUUUGCUUAUUGAAAAACAAAAUAAGAAAAUUUUCUUUUUUUUAAUUACUCACUCACUAUUAAGUUUGUUAAAUAUUCUCUCAUAGCUUUUUCUCCUGGCCUUUUGAGUGUUUGAGACAUGUCUCUCUGCCUUGCAAUUUGGCAACAUUCUAUCCCACACCCAUAUAUGAAAGUGAAAGCUCUGCUUCUCCGACUACGGUUUAAUUUACUUUGUGGACAUUAUUAAUAAAAGGCAGAGAAAGACAUUGGACCAUAAUAAGUGUGGGACUUAGCAAAGCCGUAUUACUGAUUGUUAUUAGGUAUUGCUUGCAGUGGAAUCUAACAUAUUCCUGUAAAGUUAUUCUGACUAUCAAGAUAGUGAAAGUGCAGAGGAGGCAUGCCAUGAGAUUGAGUGGUAUUUUCCUGCAUGCUUUUUCUGCUUCUUGAAAAUCCUGCAGCACUUUGCCAUGGUUUCUUAUCUGGAUGAAAUAAGGCAACUAUGCCUUAGUAUUCCUGCCAUGCCUUUGUAUGCUAUACUUGGCUUUGUUCUCCAGGCCUCUUCCCACAGUAGCAAUGGAUUCUUUUUCUCUCUCUCUUUUUUUUUUGAGAUGGAGUUUGGCUCUUGUUUCCCUGGCCGGAGUGCAGUGGUGUGAUUUCAGCUCACUGCAACUUCCACCUCCCAGAUUCAAGCGAUUUUCCUGCCUCAGCCUCCCAAGUAGCUGGGAUUACAGGCAUGUGCCACCAUGCCUGGCUAAUUGUAUUUUUAGUAGAGAUGAGGUUUCUCCAUGUUGGUCAGGCUGGCCUCAAACUCCCAACCUCAGGUGAUCUGCCUGCAUUGGCCUCCCAAAGUGCUGAGAUUACAGGCAUGAGCCACUGUACCUGCCCAGCCUCAAUUAUAAUUUUUAAAAUUUUUGCAGAUGCAGAUUUAUAUAAAUUGGCAAGCCAGUUCUCAUUAUCAAAUUAACUGGUCAAAAAAAAGAAACCAGCUUAACUGGUCAAAUAUAGAUUUACUUUCUGUCAGUAAAAUUUUAAGCAUGUUAACCUGGUAUAGCUGUGAGCACCCAUGGCCCAGUCAAGUUGGCACAUAUUCUAGGGUUAAACAUCACAAAAAUUAACCCUAGAAUAAAUGCUACUCUGGUCCUUCUUAGCAAAGCUUAUGAAUAAGACCAAAAAGAUCAAACCAUUUUAAAAAAAAAAGCUGAAGAAUACUUUUUAGAGUUCCAAAACUAUCCAGGACCCAGUGUGGUAAAUUGCACAAUGUUUGCCAGCCAUUCCAGAAUUACUAGGUAUGAGCAGAAGUAGUAAAAAUACAACCAAUAACUGACCAGAAAUGAGACAGAUGAUAUAAGUAGGAUAUUACAGACAUUAAAAUAGUCAUUCUAAUUGUAUUCCAUGUGUUCAAGAAGCUAGAGAAAAGAUUGACUGUUAAGUAAAGACAUAAAAGAUGAUUGCUGGGUGUGGUGGCUCACACCUGUAAUCCCAGCACUUUGGGAGGCCAAGGCAGGUGAAUCACCUGAGUUCAGAAGAUUGAGACCAGCCUGGCCAACAUGGUGAAAACCCAUCUCUACUAAAAAUACAAAAAUUAGCUGGGUGUGGUAGUGCACACCUGUAAUCCCAACUACAUGGGAGGCUGAGGCAGGAGAAUCACUUCAACACGGGAGGCGGAGGUUGCAGUAAGCCAAGAUUGUACGACUGCACUCCACCCUGGGUGACAGAGCAAGACUCCAUCUCCAAAAACAAAAAGAAAAAAUAAUGAAUGAACUUAUUAAGAUGAAAAAUAUACUGAAUGAAGACUGUCAGAAUAAACAUUGCACAAGUAAAGACUUGUGAUUUUGAAGAAAUUUUUAUCCAUAGAAACUAUCUAAAAUGAAACAGAUAAAAAAGAAACCCUGAAAAAACACAUGAACACCACAUAAAGUGAGAGACAACAUCAAGUAGCCAAAUGUUUGUAGAAUUGGAGUCCCUGAAGGAAGGGAGGGCAUGAGGGAUCAAAAAAAAAAAAAAAGAAAAAGAAAAAAAUGGCUGAAAAAUUUCCAAGUGUAAUAAAAGCAGUAAACACACAGAUCCAAGAAUCUCAAGGAACUGCAAGCACAGGAAACAUGAAGAAAAACUAUAUACUAAAGCACAUUCUAAGCAAAUUUCUUAAAACCAUGGUUUAAAUUGGCCAAAGAGAUGAGAUACAUGACAUACCUAAGACCUAAGUUCAAGAUGACACCAGAUUUCUUAUUGGAAACAGCGUAAGCCAGGUAACAGUGGAACAAUAUCUUUAAAGCAAAGAAAGAAAACAGUUGUCUACCUAGAAUUCUUUUCUCAGUGAAAAUACCUUUCAAAAAUGGAGGCAAAAUAAGGUCUCUUCCAGACAUUAAAAAAGGAAGAAUUUAUUACCAACAGAUAUUCAGUACAAGAAAUAUCAAAGGAUGUAAUUAAAGCAGAAGGAAAAUGAUACCUGGUAGAAAACUGGAGCUGCAGGGAGUCCAAGGCUGCAGUGAGCUGUGAUCGCACCAUCUGAUUCCAACCUGGGUGACAGAGUGAGACUCUCUGUCUAAAUAAAUAAAAGAAAAGCGGAGCAAUAAAAAGAAAUGAAGACAAUGCAGAGUUUAACUGUGGGUAAAUACAUAAGAUAUUUUUUCUUUUUGUUUCAGCCUCUUAUUAAAAGAUAUGUCUUAAAGGUAAUUUACACAUUGUAGCAUUUGUAACUUACAUAGAAGUAAAGUUUGUGACAACAAUAGCACAAAGACUGGGGGUGGGAGAACGAGUAUACUCUCCUAAGCUUUUUACACUACAUGUGAAGUUGUAUAAUGUCAAUUGAAGGUAGACUGUGAUAAGUUAAAGAUACAUAUGAUAAACUCUGUAGUAGCAGAGUUAUAGCUAAUACUUGUCUAUAAAAAGUUGUGAUAAAAAUCUUUAAAUAAUCCAAAAGAUGUCAGGAAAAAAGAAAAAAAAAGAAAACAGGAAAAGCAAACAGAUGGGACAAUAAGAAGCAAAAAGCAAGAUGGCAGGUUAAAAUUCCUAUCAAUAGUUAAUUCAUCAUUAAGCGCUGGGCAGAGUGGCUCAUGUCUGUAAUCCCAGCACUUUGGGAGGUGCGUUAGGAGGAUCAUUUGAAGCCAGGAGUUGGAGACCAGUCUUGGAAGCCAAGUGAGACCCCGUUUAUAUCAAAAAAAUUUGUUUUUAAUUAGCCAGGUAUGAUGGCUUAGUUCCACUCAGGAGGCUGUGGUGGGAGGAUCACUUGAGCCUAGGAGUUUGAGGCUGCAGUGAGCUAUGAUGACAACCACUGCACUCCAGCCUAGGUGACAGCAAGACUCCAUCUUAAAAAAAAAAAAUCCUCAUUAAAAGCAGAGAUUGUGAGAUUGAAUAAAUAAGCAAGUCCCAUUUAUAUGCUGUCUAUGAUUAUUCUUUGAAUAUAAAAAUACAAAUAUGUUUAAAGCAAAAGAGUAGAAAAAGAUGUUAAUAUGUUAACAUUAAUGAAAAGAAAACCUUAGUGGCGUAUUAAGCAAACUAUAUUUUAAAAUGAAAUGUCACCAAGGAUAAAGGAGAAUUAUUUCAUAAUAAUAAAGGGAUAAAUUCAUCAAGACAUAACCUUAAAUAUUUAUGCAUGUAUUAACAGAUUCAAAAUACAGACUCUUUGAGGAUAAAUAAACAAGUCUAUAAUUAUAGUUGAAGGAUUUAACAACUAUCUCAAAAACUGAUAAAAUAAGUGGAUAAAAAAAAUCGAGGAUAGAGAAGGUUUGGACAGUAUAAUCAACUGACUUGAUUUAAUUGAUGUUCAGUAAAACAUUUUGCCCCUAAACAGCAGAAUACACAUUCUUUUCAAGUACAUAUGGAACUAUUCCCAAGGCAAAUAAUUUUCUGGGCCAUUUAAAAAGCCUCAGUAGGCUGGGCAUGGUGGCUCACACCUGUAAUCCCAGCACUUUGGGAGGCCAAGGCAGGUGGAUCACCUAAGGUCAGGAGUUCAAGACCAGCCUGGCCAACAUGGUGAAGCACUGUCUCUACUAAAAAUAGAAAAAAAUUAGCUGGGUGUGGUAGUGGGUGCCUGUCCCAGCUACUCAGGAGGCUGAGGCAGGAGAAUUGCUUGAACCCGGGAGGGGGAGGUUGCAGUGUGUCUCUCCAGCCUAGGCAACAGUGAGACCCCGUCUUGAAGAAAAAAAAAUAGCCUCAGUAAAUGUAAGCUGAUUCAAUUUGUAGAAAUUAUGAUCUCUGGCCACAUAGAAUUAAAUGAGGAAUUAAUAACAAAGGUAUGUGGAAGAUCUUUCAAAAAUUUGGAAAAUAACAUAGUUUUAAAUAAAUCAUGGGUCAAAGAAAAAAAUCAAAAGUGAAGUUAGUAUCUGGAACUGAAUGAAGGUGAAAGUGCCACAUAAAAUUUGUGGGAUGGAGCCAAAGGGAAAUUUAUAUAGUACAGAUGGUCCCUGACUUAUGACGUCUCAACUUACAUUUUUCAAUUUUCUGAUGGGUUUUUCAGGAUGUAACCACAUUUUAAGUUGAGCGUUUGUAUUAGAAAAGAACAGAGGUCCCAAAUCAAUGACAUUGGAGUCCCACUUUAAGAAAUUACAGAGACGUUCUUCGCCGAGAGUCCCCGCGGCUUCCUGUUCAACUGCUUGGACGGAACCGGCGCUCCUCCCCACCCCGGCUGGCCGCCCACAGCCAGCUCUCUUGUCACCUCCACUCCGCGCCCUCCGACCGCCCCAAGGCCCCUGCCGCCUUUCUAGCGUCACGCAGCCACCGCCGCCACAACCGCAUCUUCUUCGCAGGUGCCCCACAACUACUACCAGGACUCAGAGCCUGCAAUCAACCGCCAGAUCAACCUGGAGCUCUAGGUCUCCUAUGUUUACCAGUCCAUGUCUUACUACUUUGACCCGAUGAUGUGGCUUUCAAGAACUUUGUCAGGUAUUUUCUUCACCUAUCUCAUGAGGAGAGGGAACACGCAGAGAAAUUGAUGAAGCUGCAGAACCAACGAGGUGGCUGCAUCUUCCUUCGGGAUAUCUAGAAACCAGACCAUGAUGACUGGGAGAGCAGGCUGAGAGCGAUGGAGUGUGCAUUACAUUUGGAAAAAAAUGUGAAUCAGUCACUACUGGAACUGUGCAAACUGGCCACUGACAAAAAUGACCCUCAUUUGUGUGACUUCAUUGAGACACAGUACCUGAAUGAGCAGGUGAAAUCCAUCAAAGAAUUGGGUGACCACUUGACCAACUUGGGCAAGAUGGGAGCACCCCAAUCUAGCUUGGCAGAAUAUCUCUUUGACAAGCACACCCUGGGAGACAGUGAUAAUGAAAGCUAAGCCUUAGGCUAAUUUCCCCAUAGCCACGGGGUGACUUCCCUGGUCACCAAGGCAGUGCAUGCAUAUUGGGGUUUCCUUUACCCUUUCUAUAAGUUGUACCAAAACAUCCACUUAAGUUCUCUGUACCAUUUCUUCAAAUAAAGAAAUUUGGUACCC
This is a non-coding RNA of Callithrix jacchus (white-tufted-ear marmoset), 22648 nucleotides long. The record is from RefSeq and is a predicted model, not a curated record. NCBI's taxonomy places the organism in Eukaryota, Metazoa, Chordata, Mammalia, Primates, Cebidae.